RNAcentral lists this non-coding RNA (100 nucleotides) under Hanusia phi. The record is from RNAcentral. Lineage: Eukaryota; Cryptophyceae; Pyrenomonadales; Geminigeraceae.
AAAGAAAAGAAGAGAAGGUAAGAGGGUGAUAUGUGUGUCGUGUAUGUCACCCUGUAUUAAUUUUUUUUUUUUUUUUUUUUUUUUUUUUUCUUUUUUUUUU